Molecule: transfer RNA, 74 nt
Filed under: Planctomycetota bacterium
Lineage: Bacteria; Pseudomonadati; Planctomycetota
Description: Planctomycetes bacterium (activated sludge metagenome) tRNA-Gln
Rfam family: tRNA
About the family: Transfer RNA (tRNA) molecules are approximately 80 nucleotides in length.
Source: RNAcentral
UGCCCGGUGGUGUAACGGUAGCACAGGAGACUUUGACUCUCCUUGUCUGGGUUCGAAUCCCGGCCGGGCAACCA